Long non-coding RNA from Arachis stenosperma, 227 nucleotides. RefSeq lists it as uncharacterized. The transcript has 3 exons. The record is from RefSeq and is a predicted model, not a curated record. NCBI's taxonomy places the organism in Eukaryota, Viridiplantae, Streptophyta, Magnoliopsida, Fabales, Fabaceae.
UCUGACAACAUCUAUGCUUUAGUUGAUUGUGCCACUAUAAAUCAGAGGAAAGUUAUGAUGCUUGGCUGAUGAGGUUGUUGUUCUUCUACUGUACUCACUGUUGCAAGAAAAUUCUGCCUUUUUGGAGUAUGUCUUGGUGCGGACUGACAUGGAUGCCUUGUUAAUGCCCAUUCUGAAAGCUCUAUACAAUGCUCCAAGGAGAACAGCUAAUCAAAUUUACAUGUUGC